Long non-coding RNA from Aethalodelphis obliquidens (Pacific white-sided dolphin), 403 nucleotides. RefSeq lists it as uncharacterized. The record is from RefSeq and is a predicted model, not a curated record. NCBI's taxonomy places the organism in Eukaryota, Metazoa, Chordata, Mammalia, Artiodactyla, Delphinidae. The transcript has 3 exons.
UAGAGAACCAGUAACUAACUUACCUUUUCUUAUUUAAAGGCACCUGAAUUACUUGGUAUCAAGGCGCUGCAACAUUUAUAUUUAUUGAAAUAUAAUUUACAUAAAAUAGAAUACACACAUCUUGGGUGUUGCAGUGAGUUUUGACAACUGUAUAAACCCAUGUAACAUUUGUCUGUGUCACAAAGAAUGGACUGGAAGGAAGCAAGACCGGAGGACAUUCAAAUGAUGAUGUCUGCAAGACACAUGUCUGGAGCUCAAGAGAGAAAAUACUUGAAUGGAGAUAUAAAUUUGCUCAUCAUCAGCAAAUAUAUGGUUAUUGAAAGAUAGCAGUGGAUAAAAUUGCCUGCAAAGAGCAGGGCUUCCCUGGUGGCGCAGUGGUUAAGAAUCUGCCUGCCAAUGCAAG